UCGAGAAUUUUUCUCAAUGGGGGCAACCCUGAAGGAGCGACGCCGCGUGGAGGAUGAAGGUCUUCGGAUCGUAAACUCCUGUCAUUUGGGAACAAAACCCUCACUUAACUGGUGAGGGCUUGAUAGUACUAGAAGAGGAAGAGACGGCUAACUCUGUGCCAGCAGCCGCGGUAAUACAGAGGUCUCAACCGUUGUUCGGAUUCAUUGGGCGUAAAGGGUGCGUAGGCGGUCGGGUAAGUCGGAUGUGAAAUCUCAGGGCUCAACCCUGAAACUGCAUUCGAUACUGCCUGGCUAGGGUACUGGAGAGGAGACUGGAAUUUACGGUGUAGCAGUGAAAUGCGUAGAUAUCGUAAGGAAGACCAGUGGCGAAGGCGAGUCUCUGGACAGUUACCGACGCUGAGGCACGAAGGCCAGGGGAGCAAACGG
RNAcentral lists this ribosomal RNA (426 nucleotides) under uncultured bacterium. RNAcentral describes it as "bacterial SSU rRNA". It matches the Rfam family "Bacterial small subunit ribosomal RNA", at positions 355 to 775 of the family's 1533-position model. The record is from RNAcentral.